RNAcentral lists this ribosomal RNA (253 nucleotides) under uncultured bacterium. Its description in RNAcentral is "partial 16S ribosomal RNA". It matches the Rfam family "Bacterial small subunit ribosomal RNA", at positions 524 to 776 of the family's 1533-position model. The record is from RNAcentral. RNAcentral also lists the same sequence under 1 other name.
UACGGAGGGUGCAAGCGUUGUUCGGAAUUACUGGGCGUAAAGCGCGCGUAGGCGGUUUUACAAGUCAGAUGUGAAAGCCCAUGGCUCAACCAUGGACGUGCAUUUGAAACUGUAAGACUUGAGUAUUGGAGGGGGUGGUGGAAUUCCCGGUGUAGAGGUGAAAUUCGUAGAUAUCGGGAGGAAUACCAGUGGCGAAGGCGACCACCUGGCCAAAUACUGACGCUCAUGUGCGAAAGCGUGGGGAGCAAACAGG